GUCAACGGAGAGGUUUUUUUGUGAAUAUAUUGACAAGUUUAAGACAAAAGUGAUAAUUCGUAAACUUGCGAGAUAGAUCAUGACUUCCGUCCCGUCGUGGGGAUAUAAAACUCCAAUCGGGGUAUGUAACACCGUAUUUGUACACAAGAGUUAAAACGCGAGGCAACAUGAUGAACUAUCUUUUGUUUGCUGUCUUUGUUCUUUGUUUGUUGAGAGGAUGUUCAGGAUACGAAUGUUUUUAUGAUGACAAAGUGGGUUAUGGAAUAACAGCUGACACCAGACUCUUUUACAAACUAGUUGACACCAUCGAGAUAUGCGAGGCUAUGUGUGAGGCCUCGGAAGAGUGUACCGUUUACAGGUACGAGAGGUUUGGUUGUCAUCUGUUGCAGAGACCGGUUUUAGAUCGACAGGUCGUGGAUGAUCUGGAUGAAUGUAAGGAGGCAUGUGAAGCUCACGACGAAUGCAAUCUACUUCAGAUUGUUUAUUCUGAAUAUGAAGGAAACGUCUGUUGGUUGUAUUCUUAUUCAGACAUCAAACCAACGAUAUACCACAACGACGUGGUCAGCAUCAAAAGUUGUCUUAAAUAAAUAACCAAUAAUCAAGAUAAUCCGUGCAAUAACAAUUCUUUGGUUCAGAUUAUUGUUUUGUGUAACAUUUCGUUCAAAUUGAUGUAAAUGUCAAGCAGUCUUUUGUAAAUAAAUUAAUUCAUUUUCUA
Patella vulgata (common limpet) is the source of this 715-nucleotide long non-coding RNA. RefSeq lists it as uncharacterized. The transcript is spliced from 3 exons. The record is from RefSeq and is a predicted model, not a curated record. Lineage: Eukaryota; Metazoa; Mollusca; Gastropoda; Patellidae.